Molecule: ribosomal RNA, 497 nt
Filed under: uncultured bacterium
Lineage: Bacteria
Description: partial 16S ribosomal RNA
Rfam family: Bacterial small subunit ribosomal RNA
Source: RNAcentral
GAUGAACGCUGGCGGCGUGCCUAAUACAUGCAAGUCGAGCGAACAGACGAGGAGCUUGCUCCUCUGACGUUAGCGGCGGACGGGUGAGUAACACGUGGAUAACCUACCUAUAAGACUGGGAUCACUUCGGGAAACCGGAGCUAAUACCGGAUAAUAUAUUGAACCGCAUGGUUCAAUAGUGAAAGACGGUUUUGCUGUCACUUAUAGAUGGAUCCGCGCCGCAUUAGCUAGUUGGUAAGGUAACGGCUUACCAAGGCAACGAUGCGUAGCCGACCUGAGAGGGUGAUCGGCCACACGGGAACUGAGACACGGUCCAGACUCCUACGGGAGGCAGCAGUAGGGAAUCUUCCGCAAUGGGCGAAAGCCUGACGGAGCAACGCCGCGUGAGUGAUGAAGGUCUUCGGAUCGUAAAACUCUGUUAUUAGGGAAGAACAAAUGUGUAAGUAACUAUGCACGUCUUGACGGUACCUAAUCAGAAAGCCACGGCUAACUACGUG